RNAcentral lists this long non-coding RNA (940 nucleotides) under Pan troglodytes (chimpanzee). Its description in RNAcentral is "long non-coding RNA NONPTRT007505". The record is from RNAcentral. Lineage: Eukaryota; Metazoa; Chordata; Mammalia; Primates; Hominidae.
UGCCUCCGCUCUUUCAUCAUAAACUACCUUAAGGUUUGUAUUCUUUUUUCUGUUCCCAUUCUAACAAACACAGUGACAGUAACUCAGUACAGCGAGAAUUCUUUGGGGAAAGGGGAAGAAAUGGAUAUUCUGAAAUAUUUGAGGUAAAGAUGAAGCAUGUGUAGUCUGAACAUCUGCUUUACCUCCCAUUUGUGAAUUCAUCUGAUGUAUCGGUCAAGCAGAGGCAUACACCUAGUAAGACACUAUUCUCUCGCUACCCUCCUCUGUACUAUCUAUUGGCAUAGUUUUAAAAGUGUCAGGGAAGUUUGUUUUCUUCCUUCAACUCCAAGUCUUGUCAUCAUUUUGGACAACUUCACUGUCUAGGUAUAUGACUUAUUCAACACCUUCCCAAAUCCUGGACCUAUCAUCUCCAUAAUCUUCAGUACUAUUCAAAACUCAGCCACACAACUUCCAUGACGAAACCAUGAAUUUUUUUCCCAUCACAUUAGACAACUAUCCCUAACAUAAUACUCGGUCACCCCACUCUGACCACCAUCUCCCAACUCUCUAGCUUUCUCAAUUAUACUCUCUCAUCUGUUUUUGAGUUUUACACGGACACCCAGUCACUUGAUCCUUCAUUUCAAUGGUUCUCAACCUUGGUUACUGUGGUAACUGUGAGUACUGCUUAGCAGUUAUUCACUCUCACUGUGGGACUGUGAAUCAUCCUUGUUGAUUAUGGAAGUGAGGCUAUUUGGUCAAUGAAAUAUUAACAUCUUUUGAUGCAAGCAAAAGUCUUAAAUGUGCUUUUGCAAUGUGGCUCACUUGUUAUACUCCGGAGACAUGCCACCAGAACAUACUCCAGGUAGCAGCUGCUCCUUUGGACUGGGCCCAAAAUAUAUGUGGCACAGACGGGAACCCAAGUUUCUUCAGGUGCCAAAUCCAAACAGCACACAGACCAAAG